RNAcentral lists this unclassified non-coding RNA (5391 nucleotides) under Leishmania donovani. RNAcentral describes it as "gene:LdHU3.14.1130(CDS-product:protein_kinase_put ative)". Lineage: Eukaryota; Euglenozoa; Kinetoplastea; Trypanosomatida; Trypanosomatidae. The record is from RNAcentral.
GGGUCUCGGGUACACUUGGGAGGGAGGCCCUCCUUCACCACACUCACAGCACUGUCGUGUCUGCAAACGCGGAUAAGCCUACCAGCACCAACACCAACACCAACACACACACACACACAUACACACGCGUAGACGAACAACAACAAAGAAAAGCAGCGCGAGCGGAGAGAAAAGAGCGCGAGCGGUGAUAGAGCGAGAUAAUAGAGGGAAUGUGAGAAAGCCAGCCAACGGGAGACACUCGCCUUUCGGCUCUUUGAUACAGUCAAUUGUUUUUGUCAUUCUACCCCCACCCCUCCCCCUCCUCCCACUCGUCUUUUUCGUCCUUUGUCCAGCUGCAACUCCGUCCCCUUGAGGAUUUAGAUUAACGUCCGCAUACACAAACACACAUACACAUACAGGCGCUCCUGCUUCCCUCCCUCUCCCCCUCCUCCUCUCCUCCCCCCCCUUUUCGUUUCCCUUCGCCGCCGCCACCGCAAGCUCCCAUCAGCCACUCAAGCACACACACACACACACACACAGUUCUCGUUCUCUAUCGUUGAGAGUUUAUUUUUUUUGGCUGUCGUCGCGUGUUCUUGUUGUGCUUUUCCUCGCCCGUUUUAUUGUUGGCUUGCAUCUUCAUUGACACACUCUCUCUCCUUCUCUCAUUAUUUUUAUUAGUCUCCUGUUCCUUUCCUUCCUUACUCCCCUCACCCCUCCGUCUCUUCCCUUUCUUCCCUUCCUAGAGUCAUUCCUUACGUACCAAAGAUAGACGCAGUGCUACGUGUGCGUGUGCGUGUGCGUGUGCGUGUGCGUUUACGUCAUCUAGAGGCACACCAGUGUGAGGCGAAGGGGGAGGAGGAGAAGGUGUGCGGGUGGAGUAGGGGGGACAGAGCACACGCUUACACAUACGCAUAGACAACCGGCUACGACAGCGACGCGCGCACGCAGAACAGGCGUGCCAUCGCUUUUUUUCGUUCGCCUCUUCUCUUUGUGUGCGUGUGCGUGCGCGUCUUGCGCAUCUCACGGUGCGAGUGCAUAAACACUGACCGCUCUCGAGGUCGUUGGGCAGCGAAGACGCGAAGGCAGCGCGUCCGUGUCUCGCACCCGCUUUCGGUUUUCCGGUCUCUCGGCAGGCGUUUUUUUUUUUGCUUUUGAGGAUGUCGUAUCAGCAGCUGCAGGGUGCGGCCAGUAGCUCCAGCGGUGGGAGCGGGGCACGUGGCCGACAGCCCUCAGCUCAGCAGCGGCACGCGCAGCAAUCAGCGUUGGCGACAUCGUCUCCUUCGCCACCUCCACUCCGAUCGGACGGUAGAACGGCCGCCGCCGCCGCAGGGUCUGCUUCAUUGGUGACGUCCUCACCGCGUAUCAGCACUGCACCCAGGCACGUGGACACGUCGGCCAGCGGCGCUGGAUUCCGGCAUUCAAGCAGUGCGAGUGGUGGUCCUGCCUACGACCAGCCCGGCUCGGCGCAUUUGCCUGUGCGACACCAUCACCACCACACACAGCCGUCACGACAACAGAAACUUCAGCUCCCGUCGUCGUCCUUGGCUCGGAGCGCUGGCGUAAGCGGCCCUUCCAUCACCGCCUCUUCCUCUAUGGGUAGCGCACCGUACGCUUCGCCACUGCCUACCGUGGGGGCCAGCUUACCCACUGACCCCCCUACAGCUGCAGCCGUGGCAAGCGGGGCUAUACCAGUGGGCAGCAGCUACGCCUACUGGCGCGGUGCAAGUGGGGUUGGUGGGCCUAGUGAUCGGCGGCGGCGUAGCGGUAGUGGUCGAAGCGGCGGCGGUGGCGGUGGCGGUGGUGGCAGUCGCCGCAACGGUUCCCCAGGGCCCCGGCACCACACGUCACAAGCGCAGUACCUGCAGCAGCGACCGCGUGCCGAUGCCUCAUCAGCUCCCUCGUCGGAGCAUCCUGCAGCUUCUUCGGUGCCUGAGACCGCCGCUGCUCUGGUGACAAGUCCACCGUCGACCCUGCCGGACAAUUGCAGCGCGGCGUCGUCCCCGUCAUGGCCCCAACCACCGCCGCCGCCGCCUUCAGCAACAUCGGCAGUCUCCGCCCCGUUGGCGAGCAGCGGCGUCCCGCUCGUCUCCAGCCAUGCCGGCCAGCCAUCCCGCAGAGGCGGAAACGGUGGCGCCUCCUCGCCACGCUCCAGCGCAGCCGCUGCUCCAGCAAUAAUGGCGGGAAGUGGCGGAGGUGGCGCCGCAGCAGGCGGCAGUGCUUCAAGUAUGCCACCGCCUCCGUCGGCAUCUGGCGCAGCGACCUCAGCGACAGCAGGAGCGGCAUCCACUUCGCAGAAAGUUCAAGGCACAGCGGGCGGCGGUUUGUCACUUGCCUCUGCCACAAGUGUGCGACUCAUGCGCCCCAACGGCGAGGAGCGGCCGACAGUGGCCCUCUCACAGAACAUCAUGUCCGUCUACGAAGCCAUCAACACCCUCUUCUACCAGGAGCGCCAGCUGCUGCUGACGGCGCCGGCCAAGUACGCGGCGCGCAAGUACGAGGACGCCGCGGGGCACUACUUGCCGUACCCCGGCGAAGAGAUCGCGGAGCGGUACGUGGUGAGGGAGGUGAUCGGCAAGGGCAGCUUCGGCACUGUGUUGCACUGCGUUGACCAAAAGUACCACGAGGCUGUCGCCGUCAAGGUGAUCCGCAGCGGCCCCUACUUUGAGAGCCAGGGCUGGUUUGAGGCGCAGGUAGUGGCGCACCUGAACAACGACCCGGCGCUGCAGAACCUCGUCGUGCAGCUGCGCAAGGUCUUCUUGUGGAAGGGUCAUAUGGUGCUGGUCUUUGAGCCGCUCAGUUUCAGUCUCUACCGCCUCAUCACAUUGACGAAGUACAACGGCGUCAGCCUCGACCUCACCCGCAAGUUCGCCUACCAGAUGAUCAAGGUGCUGCUGGUGCUGGAGCAGCAUCAGCCACCCAUCAUUCACUGCGACCUGAAGCCGGAGAACGUGCUACUGCGCGACCCGAGCCGCAGCGAGGUGCGCGUAAUCGACUUUGGCUCCGCGUGCUACCAGCAACAGCAAAAAUGGAGCCCGCCACCGGCGCAGGUGGUGCUGCCCUCGACGUCGCCGAGCAGCUCGCCAGGGCCGCCCUGGGACUCGGUUGCUGAAGGCCCCAGUGGCGGGGUCAAGCCCACCGCCGCCGCCGAUGAUGAUGACAGUAGCGCGCCGCAGUCGCCGCCCAAAGGGCCGCAGCAACGACACCAGGCGACUGCAGGGUCGACCACCGCAUCUGUCGAUGCGGCGCUGGCAAGCGGCGUCGCAGCACCAACCGCUGAGGGGGCAGACACGGUGGAGAAAGCCAGUGACGCGGCCCCCGCUGCCGCGGCGGCGGCCGGAACCGCCACUGGUGACAACAGGAGAGGGGAUAUUAUCAUGCCCAAGUACAUCCAGUCGCGCUACUACCGCAGCCCGGAGGUCAUCCUGGAGCUUGGCUACACAACGGCGAUUGACCGCUGGUCCCUUGGCUGCUUCCUGGUGGAGAUGCACACGGGGGUGCCCCUCUUCCCCGGCAAAAACGAGGGAGACAUGGUAGCAUACUUCACGUCCAUCCUCGGUCCGCUGCCAGACUACAUGAUUGCAGCAAGCCCCAAGCGGACGCAGCUUUAUUAUACGUGCCAUUCAGAGCCCUCCACCAAAAGCGGCGGCGGCGAGCUGGCGCACGGUGUCGCCACCGCCGGCGCUGGCCCCGCAGAAGAUGCCCCACCGGGGCUCACUCCGAUGUCCAGCGCACCAGGUCACGCCAUGGGCUCUCCUUUCUUCCUACGGGCCCCCCGAGUGGAGGGCGAGGGUGCGGCAGCCGCUGCUGUGCCCGGCAGUGGCAGCAACAGCCCGCCGCUCUCUCUGGAAGAAAUUCUUGGCGUGCACAAGGGCGGCCCGCGCGGCUGCCGCGCUGGCCAGCCGGGCCACGAUGAGUCUGCCUACGAAGUCUUUUGCGACUUUAUCCACAAGCUGCUCCAGUACGAUCCGCGGAAGCGCGUGAGUUGCCAGCAGGCGAUCCAGCACCCUUUCCUAGAGCCGAUCCGGGCCCUCAAAUCCCGCUCCGCUGCGCCACCGUCGGCAGCCCCGGGCACCGGCGGCGGCAACACGGAGGCGGGAAGUGCACCGCCUCCGCCAUUGCCAGGGCCUCCGCAGUAGAGCGGGGCCAAACCACACGCGUGCGCGCAGUCUUUGCGCUCAGAAGACUGGCACCUUCCCCAGCCGAUUACUGGCCAUCUCUCCUCCCUCCUUCCCUCGCUGUUGGUCUGUUUACGUUGCUCAUGCGAUGCCGAUGCACUGUUGAUCGUUUCCCUCACCCUCUCUCUCUCCCCCGCUGCCUCUGUCACGUGUUUGUUUAUCUUCCGAAGCUGGAGUUGCACGCGCUUGUGCAAGCAGCGCUGCAAAGAGGAGGGGGCUCACGCGCCGCUUAUCCAGUCCGUGGUGUUCACCUCGUAUCACCCCUCUCGGCGCAGCCUGCCGGCUGGCCUGCGUGCGGGCGGGCGGUUUGUACGCGUUCAUGUGUAUCCCGACGUUGGUGCAACGGCUCAUGUACUACUACUACGACAACUAUCAACCCUUUGUGUGUGCGUGUGUGUGUCUUUGUGCUUCCCAUCUUUUUGUUUACUCGGUGGUGGUGGUGGUUCUUGUCUUCCUCUGGCGAGAGACGCCGUCCUGUGUGCCUUCCCCACCACCACCUCGACUUAUUUCGUCUCUCGGCUCAUGCCUCCCUUCGCCCUCGGCACUGACUCGGCCUGCGUCUGCCCAUGCACGCGUUUGAGAGGUGUUGGCACCCCCGUGCCCCCCCCCCACACACCCACACACCUCCCUCUGUCUCUCUCCCUUCUGUGCGGUCGUUCUGCGCGCAGGAGUGAGAACGCAGAGCACGAGCAGACGCCGGAUCCCAAGCGUCGGAGGACAACGAACCUCAACGCCGUACAACGACUGCAAGAAAAAAAGGACGAACCAUAAGUCGGCCGUGCAACGCCGCGUUCCCUCCUCUCUGUGUGUGCCGUCGGCAGAUCCACCUUCACCUGCCGCUCUCGGGGGGGGGGGGGGGGGGCAUGCGCGUGUCACUUCAACGAGCGCGUGGCUCAGUGCUGUUGCCGCUUCGCCUCUCUUUGUGUUGCGAGGAAUGACUUGGUUUCCACCGCCCCCUCCUCCCUCAUCGCAAGCUCACAGACUCUACACAAGAGGUGGGGGGGGGGGGGGUUGAAACCCCCACCCUCUGUGUGUGGCGUGCAAGAGAUGCGCAUUCCGGCAUCUUCCUCUCCCCAUCGCCAUCCGUCACUCUUGCCGUCUCUGUUCUCUUACUUUCUUUUUUUUUGCAUGUCCGCACGCGUACGCAUACACGGAACCACCUCUACCAUUGCGACCACACGAAUAUAUAUAUAUAUAUACCAUCUACUCGACUUGCACACCUCACUCGUCCGUCAAG